Molecule: long non-coding RNA, 17057 nt
Organism: Brassica rapa (field mustard)
Lineage: Eukaryota; Viridiplantae; Streptophyta; Magnoliopsida; Brassicales; Brassicaceae
Source: RefSeq, a predicted model, not a curated record
AUAAAUUCGUCGGUCAUAGUUCUACAAUAUAAUAUCUAUCUUUUUGGGAUUAACCGUAGAUAUCUAAGCUGAAACCAACUAAUUCUGCCAAAAUAUAAUAAUGAUAAAUAGUUAUGUUUUGGAUUUUUAAGUGAGACCUAAAGCAUAAUAUCAUAAGUCUGCAUAAGCAGACGACAACUUAAUUCAUACCAAAAUUUGAAUCUUUCGUUGAUAGAUUUAUGUUUUGUCCUAAAUUCUUCUUUUGCAACCGUUUGAUUAUAACUCAUACUUGUUUCAGUUUUGAAUAUACCUCUUUGUCCGUUGUGUACUGUACGUAGAUAGAUUUCUAUGUCGAAAUAAAUACGAUAAAACAUUCAUAUAUUUCUAGUUUAAAUGAAGACGGACAAUUUAUAUUUUACACAAUUCCUUAGUAUUAGUGGUUAAAGAAGACGCUGUAAAUUAAUCUCUUUACAAUAGGUAUCCUCAAGAUGUAUUUUUUUUAUCAAACCGUAAUGAAUCUAAUAAUUAUUUGUACGUAAUUGACAAGCAACAAGAAAGAGAGUAUACGUUGAUUCAUUCCCUUUCAUUGCCGGAAAGCUUUGAUCCCACAAAUUUCGUGUCUCGACCAAAACGGAUCAACAUUUUCUACCCCCUUCGUGCUUUAUGUAUUUAUGUGUAUUUGUCUGAUAUUUUUCUAUAUUUAAAAUUAAUGAUGAAGUCUGAGAGAAAAUUACUAAUAUCUGGUCACAUAAGCACACGUAGUUGUCUAUUGUGUAUACGCAAAUAAUUGCGUCUAAAUCUUGCCUUAAUUCGAAAAUCAGCAUCAAGUUUGAUUUUAAUUGCAAUUUGACCCUUAAAUCAAGGUAAUGUUUGUGAAUAGUAAUCCGGGCUUUUUUUAAUGCAUAGCAUAGGCCGCAGAAAUAAUUGCCCUACUUUCAUAUUUGUCUUACGUUUGAUAUUGACGUUUAUUCUUUAAAAUUGCGCUUUUAAAGUCAAAUUUUCAUAAUUAGAAGGCUACUUGCUGCGGUUAUUCUAAACAAAUCACCGAAAAAAUUGGAACUUUCAGAAUUUUCGUUUGCCAUCAACUUGGUAGGGGGGUAAAUUAGCAAAUGUGAGACUAAAAGGGUUAAAUCAAAAACUACACUUAUAGAAGCAAAUCUAGCUACUGGACUGCUUAAAUAUAUGAAUACUUGACUGCUAAAAAUAUAUUAUAUAUAUGCGUGGUUAUAUCCGUGGAAAACCACGCAUAUGCCUAGAAUGUAGCUUUUUGAUUUCAUGUGUAAUUUUUUAUGUUUGCAUGCAUGUGAACUUCUUGCUCCAUCUUCAGUGCCAUUCUCGUAUAUAAAACCGUAAAAACAAAACUUAAAGAAAGUAAAUAAACAAAUAAAGGAAUAGAAAAAAAGAAAAAGCACAUGGCAAAGGGAGCUCCAUGUUCACGAAAACAAACAAACUGUCUAAGGCCUCUCUCGUCCUUUCAGUUCACUCACUCUCAAUCUAUAUUUAAGUAAUAUAUAUACUUACAUUGAUAUAAUACAUGAGUAUAUACACAUAUGUAUAGAAUUUGAAAAUAAUAACAUUUAAAGUAUUUCAAAAUUCCCUGACCUAAACCAAAACGAAAAAGUAUUAUUUCUGAAACAUUAUUCUUUGAUUAAUCUUAUAGGGCAUGCAUAUGCACUCCAUAUGAAAUAUUUCCAUAAGUAAAAACAUAAAUAAACUGAGUCUGCAUGCAUGCAUUUACAAUUUAACAUAUUGUUUUAUCCACCAUCUAUAUUUUUUUUUUGGUAUGACCACCAUCUAUAGUUGCUGAAAACAAGUUAAACAAACAAAGAAUCCGGAAGUCUGGCUGAUCUUUCCUUCGGAAGUGGAUGUUUUUAUUUAUUACGUGUAUAUUUUUGAGUUCUUAGUGUUUUAUCAUAUUUUUAUGUGCUUAAUGCCCGUGUGGAUGUUUUUGCAAACAUAUUGUUUCGAGCACAAAACAUUUUAUUUUCUCAUGUAAAUUAGACUAAAUUGGUAAGAAUGGAUAGUCGUAACAGUGUUACAAAAAAAAUACUCAUACACUACAAAAAGGUUAGUUUACAUCAUUUAUUUUAUAUAUUUGUAUUAGUUAUAAAUGAUCUAAAUUUUUUUGUAGUAAUUAACAUUUAAAUAAAUGACUAUGAAAGUGGUGAUGCAAAUAAUUGACAUCACUUUGUUUAAUUGAUAUAAUUUUAUAUAAUAAUAUCAGUUUCGUUAAAGUGAUGCAAAUUAGAUACAAAUUAGAAUAAAUUAUAUCAAUUUAUUGACCUGAUGCUAAAUUAGUUAAUAUUAACAUCAGUUAUUUAAAGUAAUGCUAAAUUAUUUAUUUUUGUUUCACUUAUAAAUAAACGAUUCAAAAUAGUAUCAUUUAAGUUUGUCACGCAAAUUAAAUGAUACAAUUCAUCUUUUUUUUUGUAGUGGUACGUAACAGUUUACUUAUCUGCCAAAACUUAGUUUAAACUUAUGUGUUGUCGACAUAUGUUUCUCUAUGGUCACACAUCGACAAAUGAGUACAAGUAUUUUUAUAGACUUUUUAAUACGUGUAUAGGAUAUACAUGUUCAUUAGUAUUAUACAAGAUGAGCGAUGCGAGGAAGAAGAUGAGACGGACAAGUAUGUGGAAUGGAUCGAGGCUUGUUUGUAUUCGGAAGACUGUGAUAUACGUGAGAGUUUGUGGGGGCACAUUGAGAUUCAGUGAACUGUCAUCAACUGUAUCAUGACCCUGUCCCUAAUUAAUGAUCUUCUUCUUCCUCUUCACAUGACUAGACUAACCAAAACGCUGCUCGGCAAGAUUUAAUUAUAACUUCGUCUUCUUCUGUACGUACUCGUCAUUUUUAUUAACUUCUCUUUGUAUUAUAAUCAUAAGUCAAAAGACUCAAAACCCUUGCUGGAUCUAUGAAAUUUCGACGAUUGGGAUGGUUUGAAAUUAUUGUAAAUAUUAGUUUAGCAUAUUUGAUUCUCAUCUACGUAAAGGAAAUAUUUAACUUCUAGAUGUUAAAACUAGAGAGAGGAUAAAGUAACUGAUAGUACUGGACUACUGGUACUCACUGCCAGCUAAUAACGAGUGCACUUUGAUUACCAGCUAAUGAAUCUAUAGUUGAACCGGAUUUCAACUUCUCUCUUAAUCUAAGUAGUUUGGUCUUAUUUUAUUUUAAGAUAAUUCUUAAUUUAGCAUUUGGAGCAUAACAAGAAAAAGGAAGGUUAAACAUAAACAAAGAUUGACCUGAUUCGGUUCUCAAGGUGAAUGUAUGACAAAGAGAAGGGGCCAAGACCACGUGAAUUCUCCAAGCAUUAUCAUACGUGUCUCUUUUUAAAGCAUCCACGUGUCCAUGUUACCAUCGCUAGGCGACCCAGGCAUCUUUUCCGUAUGCUCCAAAAAUAAAAAUAUGAAAGAAAAUAGUUGUUCCUAAAAACAAAAUUUAACAAUUAUACUUACUGACAAAAUGUGAUUUGUUAUUAAUUUGGAAAAGCUUAUGGACUACAGUUUAUUUUAAUAAUGAUAAUACAUGGUGUGUCAUAUAGAGAAUAAGCUUAAAUCAGGGGAUGCUGUGCAGAUGCAGAUUUUGAUGCAGAAAAUGUUUUUUUUUUCAUGUUCACAUGGUUUAUUUUAAUUUUGGGGAACAGUUAUUUUGACUUUCGCAAGAAAGCAUAUUAUUGUCUAAUUAAGGACAAUUCCUCGAUUCAUUUUAUAAUCAUACCAGGUCGAUUUAAUACCAUUUUAGUUUAGAAGACCACAGUUAUGUCUUUUUUCUUUAUAGUGAAUACCGUAUAUAUUAAAUAUACCGAAAAGAAUUUUCAAAUGAUUUAGGAAUUUUCCUAGCAGCUAUAAAAUAUAUAUAUCAAUGCGCCAAUGUCCAAUUAUUUGACCUGAUUGAGAUUUGAGAAUCUGUAGCUAAAAAAUGUAUAGUUGAUUGAAAAUCUAUAUUUUUCUCAAAACUGAAUAAUAAUUUAUUUUUAUCGUACGUAGGGAGAUUUUGUUUGCAUUGCAUGAAAUCGGUGGACAGCCCAUAGUUUAUCAAUAUUCUCUCAUCAAAACCGCUUUUCACUUUUCGUUGUUCACUCCUUUUUUAUUAUACACUUGGAAAGGACAUUUUUCUUUCUUCGGGCCCGUUUGUGGACGCCUAAGUUAUAUACUUGAAUUCUUUAAUUAUACAAUUUAGGUUAAGCACGUUAACAAAUAAAACAUUUAGGGUAAAGGGAUGACUAAGGGCAUCUCUAACCCUACUCCAUUUUUUACUUCAAACUUAAUUAUGAAGUAAAAUCUUCUCUAACCUACUCCAUAUUCAACUCCAAAAUGGAGUAAUAGUUAGGGUUACUCCAUUUAUAGAAUAAUCUUACCCAUUACUCUAUUUUGGAGUUGAACUUUUUCUAUUUAUGAAAUGGUCCUUCUAAUUUUUAAUUUUUUAUUUCAUACAUAAAAUAAUAUAAUAGCAUAAAAAAAUAUAAUAUUCUGCAAAAGAUUAUUUAAUAGUUUACAUAAAAUAUGCAUAAACUCAUAAAAGUCAAAACUAAGAAUAAAUAAUAUAAUAUAAAUAAGUAAUUUAAUAAUUAAUUUGGUAAAUUGUUUUUGAAACUACCAAAAUCGGUGAAGUAUUAUUCAUACGGAACCGAUGAGUUUUUUUAAUCUUGUAGGUCAAAAUUUUGAUUGAUAACAUUUGUACUUGUUGAACUUGAUAUAUGCACAAACAAUAGGACCCAAUACAUAAUUCAAAUAACAAAACAAAACUUUGUUUUUUCUUUAUGUUCUUUUAAUGCAUAUAAAUAUUUUUGAAUUUGAAAAAUUGCAUAUGAUAAAAACUGCAUGAAUUGUAAUUGAAAGAUAAUCUCUAGUUAUAUUUUUAAUGAUAAAUACUUAAUUAAAUAAAAUAUAUUAUUAUGGAAAUUUUGUAAAAAUAAAAAAGUUGUGUUAAUUGUUAAAUUUUUAUAAGUUGAAGGUACUACUAAUAAUUAUUAAUUAAAUGAAAAAAAAAAUAUUUUUUUGGAGUAAAAAAUAGAGUAAUAUAUUGGAGUAAAACCCAACUCUAUUUUGGAGUUAUACUAUUUUGGAGUAAACUUUAGAGUAAUACAAGAGGAAUACACUUUGGAAAAACCGAGAAAUGUUUAUCUAACGAUGUUAAGACCCAUGCCUCUUAGAUUUGGUUUACACUACAUAUGUGCAAAUUGCUAGUCGAACUAUUGGAGAAACUGAAGACCCCAGCUAGAUUACCCGUACGAUUAAAAAUAUAAAAUAAAUUAUGAAUCAAAUUACAUCAUUUAUCUUUCCCAACGACUAUUCUAAAACAUGAGUUCAUGGGCUGUACUGUAUCUCACCAGAAAUGUAAUGGAGAAACAACCAACAUCUCAGUUUUCCUUCGAAGAGAUGAGAAUACUUCUCUCUCAAGCGAAGCGAGCAUUAUCAAAGACGGUUUUCAGCCGUUUUCAAAUCCCAUUGUUGGAUACUUCAAUAACGGUAUCAACCUGAUAUUUUUAUUCUUUCAAAUCGUGGGUUUAAGAUUUCAAGUGAAGUUUUUAUACAAGUCUAUUCUCUCUUUUACCACCUAUCUUUCGUCUUAUUUUAAGGUCAUCUUUGGUUAUAAUCGUUUAAGCUCUUUACUUUAAUAUACGUAUUUGGUAUUCACGAAAAAAGAAUCAAAUUAAAAAUUCAGCUGGAAAUUAAUUGUGUAUGCUGAAAGCCACAAAUUUAUCUUUAAAAUUGCUUUUAGUUCAUUAUUAUUUUGCAUCGACAAUAAUAUUUUAAAACCAAAACUGCACAAACUCAUCUCUAUUUUAUAGAAAAUGGAAAUUGCUAUUUUUCUUCUAUAUAGGGAAGAAAUAACAAUCUAUAUUUUUAUCUAUAUUUAUUAUAGAAAAUUUUCAUCUCUAUUUUAGAAAAUACACUGGAAAUGACUAAAUCACAAAUUCAAAAAUAAUAUCUGAAUGUAUCUAGUUUACUAGAUGACUUCCCGCGAUCACAGAAUAAAAAGAUAAACGACCUAUUUCCACACCAAAAAUAUCAUAUAGUAAUAAUUUCACACAAUUUUUCAAUCUCGACCUAGUUCCACAUAUUAGAAGUACUAAAACUUAUUUCUCCCCAGUCAGAAAGAUCGAAACUCAUAUCCCUAUAAAUGAAUGUUUGACUUGGUUUAAAUGGUUUGAACGUAAACCAAUACCAAGUUAGUAUGUUUUGGACCGAAUUUAAAACCCGAGCCAACAUGAGAUCCAAAUACAAACCUGACCUAAUUCUCAAUCAGACUUUGGUAAAUUUUUAAAAUCAGAUCGUAUCGAUUCAAUUAGGUUAGCCAUUGGUUAAGUUUCAAAUUUUUGAAUAGUAAACCGAUCUAAAUCAGAUUGUGUGGAUUUUAGUUCCUACUUAAUAUAUUAUGGAGAUACGGGUUUUGAUCUUUUGGAUUGGGGAGAAAUAUGUUUUAAUACUUUUAAUAUGUUGAAUUAGGCCGAGGUUGAAAAAUCGUAUAGAACUGUGUUAUUAUAUGAUACUUCGGGUGUGGAAAUAGGUCAUUUAUCUCAGAUAAAAUCAUUUAAAUACACUUGCGGUAAAUAAGUUUUAGACAAUUAUCUCAAAUAGCUAUUUUUAAGAUUUUGUCACAAAAUAACUUUCAAUAAGAAAAGUGAUCAAAAUAGCUCCUUUUUAUUUUGAAAAUUUUAAUUUUUAAUUUUUUAAAAUUUGAAAUCAAUCCUCAAAAUUCCACCCCAUAACUCUAACCCCUAAGUAUAUAUAGAUUAUUUAACCCUAGGGUAUAAAUGUAUUUUUACUCUUUAAUAAGAUCUUCUUUUGGUCGUUUUUUUCAUCGAGAAAUAUUUUGUGACAAAAGUUUAAAAAGAUUAUCCUAGAGAAUUUCUCUUAUAAUUUUUACUUCUUUCAUAAUUGUGAGAUGAAAAAUUUCUUAGGAUAACUUUUUUAGGUUUUUAUCACAACAAUAGUCCUCAAUGAGAAAAAUGACUAAAAGAAGUUUUAUUAAAGAGUAAAAAUACAUUUAUACCCAAUGGUUAACUAAUCUAUACUUAGGAUUUAGAGUUAAGGGAUGAGGUUUUUAGGAUAGGUUUUCAGAUUUAAAAAAAUAAAAAAAUUAAAAUUUUCAAAAUAAAAGAGGUAUUUUGGUCAUUAUCCUUAUUGAAAACUAUUUUUGUGACAAAAACUAAAAAAUGACUAUUUGAAAGAAUUGCACAAAUUAUAAAAAGAAACUACCAUAUGAGUUUUUGUGUCUACCACUAAAGAGAAAUUUAAUGUUUACCACUAAAGAGACAUUUUCAAAAAUACAUUCUUCAUUAAGUGGCAAAAAACUAUUAUACUUUUGUCCUUUAUAUAUACAAUAAAUAAAUAUUUAAAUAAAUAAAAAAUAGAUAAAAAUAAAAAAUAAUUUUUUUAUUUUAUUUGAAUUAUACUAUUUCGAAAUUCUAACCCUAAACCCAAAAACUCAACUCUAAACCCUAAAUCCUAUAUUUGUUUUUGAAAUACGAACCCUAAACCCUAUAUUUGUUUUUGAAAUACAAACCCCAAACCAUCAAUCUUAAACCCUAUACUUUUUUUUGAAAUACGAACCCUAAACCCUGAAACAUCAACUCUAAACCCUAAAUCCUGAAACAUCAACUCUAAACCCUAAACAUUCAACUUUAAACCCUAAAACAUCAACUCUAAACCCUAAACAUUCAACUUUAAACCCUAAAACAUCAACUCUAAACCCUAAACCCUAAACUUCAAUUCUAAAUCCUAAACCAUCAACACUAAACCUUAAAAUAUCAACACUAAACCCUAAACCCCAAAAAAUUAACCCUAAAACAUCAACUCUAAACCCAACACCCUAAAACCCUAGAGUUGAUUUGAUGUUUAGGGUUUAGAUUUGAAGGUUUAGGUUUUUGGGGUUUAGGGUUUAUGUUUAGGGUUUAGAGUUGAUGUUUUAGGGUUUAGAUUUAAAGGUUUAGGGUUUGGAGUUGAUGUUUCGGGGCUUAGGGUUUAGAGUUGAUGUUUCAUGGUUUAGAGUUGAUGUUUUAAAUUUAGAUUUGUUAACCAUAUGUUUUUUUGUCAAAGUUAAUCCAAGGGUUAUAAAUGUCUUUUACCCUUCGUUAAAGAUGAGGGUAAAAGUGGUUAGUGUAAACAUGAAAGUGAUACUUUGAAAAUUGUAUUUUUUAGCAAUUUCCUUAGUAUUUAUUAUUUAUAUAUGACAGAAUUUUCACUAAUUAAAAUCUCUUACAUUACAUAUGACAAAUAAGAAUUGGUCCUAACUCAUCAAAAUCAGAUUAAAUAUAAUUCUAAUUAAAUUUUAAAAAUUUAUUUUUUAUAUUAAUAAAUUAUUGAUUCAGAUAAAAACUAAUAAAAACAUGACAAAUAAGUAAAAAUUACUUAAAAUUAUGGAAAACAUAACAAAUCAGCAAAAUCACAUAUUUAAAUUAAGGAGAAAUUUUAAUUCAACCACAAGUUUGAUACCACUUUUCAAAUUUACCAUUAAUGAAUGACUAUUUUCUCCAAUAUCCUAAAUUUGUGAUAAAAUAACAUUAAGUUAAUUUUUAAAAUAUUUAUAGAACAUUUAUAAUUACAACCCCAACCCGUUAAUAAUAAACCCUUAACAAUAAUCACUAAAGCAUAACCCAAAAUGUUAUUAUUUUUUUUUGAUUGAUGAUAUUUUUGAAAAUUUGUACUUAACUUGUGGUAUUUCUUAUAAUUUCUGUUAAAUUAGUCAGAAAAAACUUAUUAAAUUAAUAAAUCAGCAAAAUAACUGAUUUAAAUUAAUGACUGAGAUAAAAAUUAAUAAAAAAAAUGAAAAUAAGCAAAAGAAAAAUUGCCAAAAAUACCACAUUCCUAAUACCACUUUCAUGUUUACCUUAACCACUUUUACAUUCACUUUUAAGAUGUAAAAAGACACUUAUAACCCUAGCGUAUAAUAAUCUAGACUUAUGGUUUAGAGUUGAGAGUGAGAUAGGGUUUUGAAAAUUGGAGUUCGAGAUUCUAAUAAAUAUAUAAUAACUACUUUAAUUUUAAAAAAAAUUCUUUAAAAAAGUUUCAAUUUUUUUCGAACUUCAAAAAUAAAAUUUGAAAAAAGCGAAAAAGAAAAAUUCGAAAAAAAUUCAAAAAGUAUAAAAAGUUCGAAUUGGAAAACGUAUAAUUCCAAAAAUAUAUAUUUAUAAAAUAAUAAUGUAAUAUAUAUAUAAAACAAUAGUAUAAGCGUCUUUUGUCACUUAAUGAAGAAAGUAUUUGUGAAAAUGUUUAUUUAGUGAAGGUAAACAUGAAUAAUGGUAUCCACAAUGUAGUAAACAUGAAAAUUCUCCUAAAAAAAUAUCUAAAAUCAUGGAAAACAUGACAAACCAGCAAAACUACUUUUCAAAUUUUUUUUUGUGUCAUCAGCUUAUACAGACUCUGUGAACCAAACUGGAUGAUCUGCAUCUAUGUGAACGACGAAAGACAGUUGCACCCUAAUACUGCGUGCUAGACUAUCCGCCUUUGAAGUUUGCGUCCUUGGUACAUAGAUGAUCUAUGAUCGGAGGAAACUUUCUUUCAGGGUCUUGAUAUCUUCUAAAUAAUUUGCAAAAGCUGACCAUUUUUCUGGUUUCGAAACCAUCUUCACCAAUUGAGAACAAUCUGUUGCAAUCGUAACCUGAAAUUGCCGUAAACUCCUCAUGCAUUCCAUUGUCCAUAAUAGCGCUUCCAUCUCCGCAUGAAGAGGAGAGAGGCUAGCCCGAACAUUUCUCGCCCCUAACAGUUCAUCAAAUCCUUAUAGAGUAUUGAGGCAACCUUGUCCGGAAAAGAUAUCACCCUCUUUCCAGGAACUAUCUGUUUAACACCAUCUUCUUGGAAUUGGCGGCAGAGUCGUAACCGCAACUUGUGGUAUUAUCCUCUGUUCGUUCAAUAUAUGUGCCUCAGCCCAAAGUGUGAAUUUUGUUUUCGCCCAUUUAAGCGUAUCCAUAGGAUCAAUGUCCAGAUUACUGAAAACUUUUGAUGACAUGUAAACUUUCUGAUGCAUAAAUUGUAGUAUAGUUUUCAAUAAAAAUAAAUAUAAACAUAAGAUAGUAAAUUAUUAUUAAUAACAAAAAACAUAACCUAUUUUAAAUAAAUAAUAAUUUUUUUAUUUAUUCUUAAUAUGUAUAAAAUAAAUUUUAACAAAAAUUAAGUUGAAAUAUAUAUUUUAUAAAAACCAUACUUACUGAUUAUAAUAUUUAUCCGAUAUCAAUAACAAAAUAAUUUAUAAAUUUCCAUUCCAAAUAAAAUUUACAACUAAUAAGAUUAUGUAAAAUAAUAAUUAUAAAAUAAUAAUUUAAAGUUAAUAAUACAAAAAUAAGAACAAGAAAGAGAACUAAAAAUAGGAAAUUUCCAUGUUUACGACAUUGUUGUUAUCAUUAUUCAUGUUUACCACCACUAAAAAGACAUUUUCAAAAAUAUUUUAUUCAUUAAGAGGCAAAAGACUUCAUAUCAUUGCUCUAUAUAUAUAAAAUAAACAAUUAUUUAAAUAAAAAAGUAAAAUAUUUUUAAAAAUAUUUUUGAAUUAUAAUUUUCCAAAUUCUUACUUUUUAUUAAAAAAAUUUAAAAGUUUGAAUUUUGUUUUUUCAAGUUUUCUUUGUGAAAUUCGAAUGUCAUUUUUGAAAUUAUUUUUAAAAAUUUUUAGUAUUAAUUUAUAUAUUUAUUAGAAUCUUAAACUCCAUAUUUCGAAAACUCUAUCCCACCUUUCAACUCUAAAUCUUCUGUCUAGAUUUUUUUUUUUUGACGCUGGAUUCAAUCAAUGGUGUAAAGAGUAGUAAUACAACGUCCCCCCAAAAGCAACACACACCUCCAAACAGAGGAUUGAGGAGAAAAUAAAAGGAAAGAAGAUAAGAAUAAGAAAAACACCAGUAGGUGCUGUAAAUAAUAACCAAGACCACGAUCAGUUAAAGGAGCAAGGGCCCACCGCAGCUAAGUUCCAACGAUUUUACACACGAACCACCAAAUUCAACUCCUCCUCUCGUAAUAGGGAACUCAGCCAUGUUGGACCACCUGUAGCUACGUAAGAUUGGUAGCGAUGAUCUCUUGUCACACUUAGUGCAAUAGAAUUGGCGAUCCUGUUUCUGCUAGCAACUACAUGUUCCAAACUCACUCCAUCAAAUUCAUUCAAUAAGACACUAAUGGUAUCAAUCAGAUGUCGCCAUUCCGGGUACUCAUGGGGUUUGAGAAGCGCCUCUCGAACUUGAGUGAGUGAGGACUCAAUGAUUACCCAUUUGAUUGUUAAGUCAAUAAGCGCGCGAAUACUCCACAAAAGAGACUGGAGUUCUGCUUCUAUAUUCGAAGUGUGACCAAAGAAUGCUCGUCUACUAUGUGAUAGAGGGAUACCACCAGCGUCUCGCACGAUCCAUGCUGCACCGCCCAUACGAUUAUGAGAUCCCCAAGAAGCACUUACAUUGCAUUUCAGCCAGUUCCUCGGUGGUCUACACCAGCGCAAGGGAAGCACCGAAGAAGGUUCAGCUGGGUGAUUAGGUGGAGCUUGUGUCGAAUUCAAGCCUCGCGAAGUUUCUGCUUCUUCAAAGGCCUUAUCAAAAACCAGAGAAGGGUCCAUACGGUAAUGUUCAUAGCAGAAACUGUUCCUGGCAUAUUAUUGUAAAUGUUUUUUUUUUCUUUUUCAAAAGUGAUGAUAAAAGUGGUUAAGGUAAAAAUGAAAAGUAGUAUUAUAAAUGUGGUAUUUUUGGAAAUUUUCCAUUAAAAAUCUGUGUCUAACACAAAAUCAGGUGAAAUUGCAUAUUAUUGUUAAAUAGAUUUCCAGAAAUAAGAAUAAGAUAUUGCUAAGGUGGUUUUGGAAAUAUAAAUAAUAUUUUAUUUACAAACAAAAAAUUCCAAAACGUAUAAUAUAAAGCUUUUCAUACGUGGUGUGUUUCGAAUUUAUUAUUUUCACUUGUACUUUAGACAUAAACUUUAGUUAUAAUUGUACUUCAACUCUAAAACAUGGGAUUAGUCAUGAUGUUACAUUAAGUUUUGAUUUAACAAUUUUACAAAGAGCGUAAUUCAAAAUUGUACCCUUGCCAAAAUACAUGAUAUCUCAAACUUAAAAAAAAAAUUAAUGCAUGAUUGGUGAUAAUUUUGAGUUAUCUAUGAGUUCAACCAUUAACUCAAACUAAAUCAAUCAAAGAAUAGCAUAUACAUAAAGGUAUAUGUACGACAAACCCAUUUUCAUCCAUUCCAAAACCUGCAUUUUAUACAAUCACUAAUAUAAAAUAACUAAUAAGAAAAGUAAGCUGAUAACCGUUUAAAAUAUUUUCAUCGUUUUGUUACCAAUGUCGUUAACAUACAUCCAGUAGAUAUAUUGUAACUGGACUGGACUGCGUAUGAGUAAGAAAGCAGUUAAAUGGCAACGUCAUAUUCUCGAUCCGUUCCACAUAUAUGUGUACGUUAAAGUAAGAGCUCACGAAUAGUCAGCAUGUCACACUCAUUAUAUUUUUAUUCGUCGAUAUGCCUUUGCAAUCAUGCUAUGUAUUAUGGCAUUUUAUUAACGGCAUUUAAUUGGUCCAUAUAACUUUUCACUAUCAUAACUUUAAAUUUGAGCAUAGACUCACAUAUACACACGUCUCGGGUCCCCCGGUUUUAUCUCGUCGACUCUCCCCUAUUACCUAUACUGAUGUCGUCAUGAUAUUUAUACUCACAUAUUUCUUUGUGCGAACUAAAUUUAUACAUUUUGCACUUUACGUGAAAAGAAGGGCAAAAGAUCAUUCCCGUUUAUUCUGAAUUUACGAGUCGCAACUUAAAAUAAUACUCCACAAAGCAGUAUAUCAAACCGGCGGCGGGUUGUUUAUCUUAAACAAAGAAAUAUGUCCUAGGCACUCCAAUGGAACACCAAAUUUGGUAUAAUCUCAUUUUCAAAGAGACACUAAAAAUUAUACAAUUCCAUUAAAUUUAGUGUAGAGUAAAUAGUAUUACACAUAAUUUAGUGUAUGUGUAACACUAUUCAUCACACCAAAUAUUUAAUAUUCAUAUUCUAUUGUGUUUAUUUAAUAAUAUAGGUCAUUAUCAUUAUUAAUUAGUAAUAAACAUAAUUAGAAUAUAUAAUUUGUUUAAAAAAAAUAUUUUUAAAAAUUAAAAUAGAUUUAUUUUAUUUUAAAGUAAAAAAAUCACUAAAUUAUACUUUAUAAAAUAUAGAAGUUAAUAAUUAUAUGAUUAAAAUGCAUAUUAAAUUUGAAAUAAACACUCAAAACAUAAAAUAAAUAUAUUAGUUUGUUAUGUGUUGUUCAUAAUUAAUAGUUAGUAAUUUUAAUAUAAUAUUUUAUAUAAAAUAAAUACAUAAAAAGUAUAAUAUUGUUAAAUCCAAAAAUAUAAAUGUAAAUAAAUUUUAUAAACAUAAAAUUACAAAAAUUUAACAAACAUAAUAAAGUAUGGUAAAAUAAUUAUUUAUCAAUUACAAAUAACAAAAAAAUAAAAAUUAUUAAAACUGAAAACAUCAAAUAAUAUAUAAUAUUACUUUUGGUCUGAUAUUUGGUGUCAUGGUUGGAGAUGACAAAAAAAAUUAUGACACUUAAACCUAAAUUUGGUGUCAUGGUUAGAGAUGUCCUUAUAGAUACGGAUCUAUGUGGACAAAUGGAGUGUCAGGUGACACAUGUUAGAAUUAUAUAAAGAAGUUUUUACCAUGUAACACUUAAGAUUCUAUAAAACAUUUGGUUACUUACCCCAUCUAUUAACCCCCCCAUAAUUCAAGCUCGACACUAAGGUAGUGCACUUUUUCAUUGUUUUUCUAAAUUAUUGUUAUAUUGGGUCAAAUACCCACAUUCUCUGACCCGCUUAAAGAUGAUUCUGAGUCUGCCAUUGUGCCCUUAGCAUAUAAUUUUUAGCUAAUUUAAUUAGAUGCUCCAUAAAAAUCUUAAAUGGUUCAGUGAUCAGGUAUAUAUAUGAAAAAAUUACAAAGGUAUAUCAUGAAUGAAAAUAUUUUGUUGGUUUCGACCUACUGAUUGAUCAUACGAUUGUUGUUUUUAUAUCAAAAGUUGUUAGUUGCAGCUCCACACAACAAGCGCGUGUUUGUCAUAAUUAGAAGCCUACAUUUUUGUAUCCUUCUUAGGAACUAUGAAAAAUAUAUUUGAUCAGCGAAAAUCAAUAUUCAAGGAAAUCUUGGAUAUCAAACAUAUAUAUAUAAAUAUAAAUGUAGAUAGUGCCUAAUAACUUAACUGGGAAUGAAUAUGAUUUUAAGUGGUAUAACAUAAAAUAAAUAUGCUAUUAGUAUUACUAAUAAAAUAGCAUGAUAUGUAUAAACAUUAAAACUAACGAUUUACAUUUUAUAGUUUUGAGGAUAACAAAUCAUUUUAGUCAUUAAAGAAAAAAAAAUACUUCGACUUGUUUAAAACAUAUUAAAAAGUUGUUUCUUAAAGCUGAGAUACUAGUUGUUUAACUAUUCGAAAACCAAUCUAUACUAUUAUUUGAGAAGUGAAUUUGCUGAUUUGUCAUCGUAUCCAUAAUUUUAGGCAAUUUUACUUAUUUAUCAUGUUUUUAUUAGGGUUUAGCUAAAACAUUAUUAGUUAGGGUUUAGCUAAAUCAUUAAUUUAUUAUUAGUUUUUAGUUGAGUUACUAAUUUAUUACUUUAAAAAAUACCCUUAUUGAAUCUUAUAUAUAAUUUAAACGAAUUUUAUUUUUAUUUUAUUAAUUUAUAUGUUAUAUUAAAUAUUUAGUUAAUUUUUAUUUUUUUGUCAUAUUUUUAUUAGGUUUUAUACUUUUGGUUGGGUUAUUAAUUUAUUAUUAGUUUCUAACUUAUUCACUAAUUUAUUUACUUAAACAAUACCCCUAAUGAGUUUUAUAUAUAAUUGAAAACGACUUUUAUUUAAUAAUAUUAAAUUUAUAUGUUAUAUUAAAUAAUUUAUUAUAAAAUAAUAUAAUUAUCAAAAAACAUAUUAAAAAUAAGAUAAGUUUUAUAUAUGUUUUUAUUAGGGUUUAGGUAAAUCAUUAAUUUAUUAUUAGUUUUUAAUUGAGUUACUAAUUUAUUACUUAAAAAAUACCCUUAUUAAAUCUUAUAUAUAAUUUAAACGAAUAUUAUUUUAAUUAUAUUAAUUUAUAUGUUAUAUUAAAUAUUUAGUUAAUUUUUCUUUUUUUUGUCAUAUUAUUAUUAGGUUUUAUACUUUUGGUUGGGUUAUUGAUUUAUCAUUAAUUUCUAACUUAUUCACUAAUUUAUUAACUUAAACAAUACCCUUAAUGAGUUUUAUAUAUAAUUGAAAACGAUUUUUAUUUAAUAAUAUUAAAUUUAUAUGUUAUAUUAAAUAUUUUAUUAUAAAAUAAUAUUAGAUGAAGUUCAGGAGGGUUAUUAAUUUAAUAAAAAAAUAUUGGUAACCCUCCUAUAAAAAAUUAUUUAAGGGUAUUGUUUUAUAAACCUCUUGGAUAAUACUUGAAACCGGUAACAAUUUAAAUAACGUUUUUGUUUCAUAAUGUAAAGAAACACAUACAUAAGAAGAACUUUUUAAAUCCACGGUUAUAAUAAACCCAAAGCUCCAGUUAAAAGAAAUAAACCCAAAGCUAUCCGCUAAUUACAUUGUAGAAUCGAGUUUUCGAGAAAUCAAUCAGUCAAAAGUUUUUGAAUCUUUAUUUUUAUUUGAGGAGACAUCAAAAAUCAAAUUCGACACGAUACCUACUGUACAUUUACUUGGGAGCAAUGGAACGACUUAACAAAAACAAUGGAACGAACAUAAAAAAUAAAAAAAGAGUGGGCCAAUUCAAUUAUUACAACAUAGAAGGAGAGCUUUAUGAGAACACGAGCCAGAUUCAGUUAAUCAUGUCUAUUUUUGGAUAUAUUGUUAAUUUAAUUUUGUUUUUCACUAUAGGCUUUGUACGAAUCAUCCAUCAAAGAGUCACAUCUCAUCUUACAUUCACAUGUCCAAAACUAUUUAUUUCACGCUACAAAUCAAGUUAACAAUUAAUUCGUAUCUUCUAAAUUCUUCCACAUCUCUAAUGACAGCUUGCCACAGUAGUUUUUUAUUGCCUAAGUCAAUGCAUAAUAGUAUAAACUGGAACCACUAAUGUUAUUUGUUUGCUCGUGUAUGCUUAGUAGUUAUUACUAUUAGAUAUUUUAAAAUAAACAUACUCUAUAAUCUCUACCCUGAAGUAGUCGAGUAGGAGAGAUUGGAGCAGUUUGUACACCAAAUGGGAGAGAGGGCAAUUAUUCGGGCCUCCACUCAAGUGGGCAAAGGGAGCACUUGUUUGGGCCUCUAAUAGUAAGAAACUAUAUUUAAUCGGCUAUUACAUUAAAACCCAUUGGUUGGUAGCCCGUUUAUAAUGAUUUCCGAUAUAUACGGCUAGGAAGCGUCAGUAGCCCAGUUAUCAUGUAAAUGAAAGAAUCCGCAAAUCAACCGGUUUUGGUUCAUGAUCCUAAUUGGUCGGUUAGUUCAGUUGAUCUACUCCUAAUAAUUGGUUCAAAGAGCAAACAUAUAACUGUUAAGAUAAUUCAAUUUAUUAGCGGCUAAACUGCAAUUUACUUUUUGUUUUGUCUGAAUCGUUCGAAAUAUACUAUUAAGUCGUUUGGAAAUUUCGAUUUACAUGGAAAUUUCGGUAAAAUUUGAAGAAUAUUUCCUUAGAGCAUCUCCAAUAGUUGACUUCAUUUUUAUCUUCAAAAGUUUACUUUCUUCAAAAUGAAAAAAAAUGAAACAACAUUCACUCUAAUGGUUUACUUCAUUUCUUUCUAAUAAAAAGAAUAUUCCAAUUAUAUUUCAUCUCCACUUUAUCAUUAAUUAUUAAUAGACACCUUAUACUUUUUUAUUUACUUAUUUUACCUAACUAUUUUUUUUAACAAUAAUCCAAUAUAAUUAUUAUUUCAUAUAAAUUUAAUAUUCUCAUAUAAUGAAUUUAUUACAUAACAUGAAUAAACAAACAUAAAACAUCAUAAUUUGUAUAAAAACACCACAUAUUUUUUUUUCUACAAUUGAUUAACAAAAGUGUUUAGAAUAAUAAAUGAGCUUAUUUAUCUUUGAUUCUUUUAAAUCGAGUUAAAAAGUUCUUAAAAACAAAUAUUCAUAUGCUUUUUGAUAUAAACAUCUGAUUAGAUAAAAAUAAUAGUCAAAAUUUUGAAAUUAAUUGGAUUAUAUUAAAGCAUAUAGUUUAUUUUGGCAAAAGAUAAGAAUAAAUAAAAGUUAAGAACCAAUUUACAAUGAAAAAAUU